UACUAUUGAUUUAUAGUAAUUGUUGAAAUGAAUCCUCCAAUUUUGUUCUUUGUUCUGUUUUGACUGUGCUAGAUCCUUUGCAUUUUCUCAUGAACUUUAGAAUCAGCUUAUCAAUAAAAUAAAGACUGCUCGCUUGUUGGAAAUUAAGUUGGGAUUGGGUCAUAUUUAUAGAUUAAUUUGGGGAGAAUUGACAUCUUAACAAUAGUAAAGGAUAGUUUAAUUAAUGUAGAUGUAUUUGACUU
This 242-nucleotide long non-coding RNA is filed under the name Pan troglodytes (chimpanzee). Its description in RNAcentral is "long non-coding RNA NONPTRT010595". The record is from RNAcentral. Lineage: Eukaryota; Metazoa; Chordata; Mammalia; Primates; Hominidae.